Molecule: ribosomal RNA, 437 nt
Filed under: Fusobacterium sp. oral taxon 203
Lineage: Bacteria; Fusobacteriati; Fusobacteriota; Fusobacteriia; Fusobacteriales; Fusobacteriaceae
Description: bacterial SSU rRNA
Rfam family: Bacterial small subunit ribosomal RNA
Source: RNAcentral
GAUGAACGCUGACAAAUGCUUAACACAUGCAAGUCAACUUGAAUUUGGGUCUUUUGACUUAGAUUUGGGUGGCGGACGGGUGAGUAACGCGUAAAGACUGCCUCACAGUUAGGGACAACAUUUGGAAAGAAUGCUAAUACUGAUAUUAUGAAUAUAUGGCAUCAUAUAAUUAUGAAAGCUAUACGCGCUGUGAGAGAGCUUUGCGUCCCAUUAGCUAGUUGGAGAGGUAACGGCUCACCAAGGCGAUGAUGGGUAGCCGGCCUGAAGGGUGAACGGCCACAAGGGGCUGAGACACGGCCCUUACUCCUACGGGAGGCAGCAGUGGGGAAUAUUGGCAAUGGACCAAAGUUGAUCCAGCAAUUCUGUGUGCACGAUGACGUUUUUCGGAAUGUAAAGUGCUUCAGUUGGGAAGAAAAAAAACGGUACCACAGAAGAAG